AAAGUGGCGAACGGCUGAGUAACACGUGGGCAACCUGCCCUUUGCACUGGGAUAGCCUCGGGAACCGAGGUUAAUACCGGAUACUCCAUAUUUGUCGCAUGGCGAAUAUGGGAAAAGCUCCGGCGGCAAAGGAUGGGCCCGCGGCCUGUUAGCUAGUUGGUGGGGUAGUGGCCUACCAAGGCAAUGAUGGGUAGCCGGGUUGAGAGACCGACCGGCCAGAUUGGGACUGAGACACGGCCCAGACUCCUACGGGAGGCAGCAGAC
Molecule: ribosomal RNA, 264 nt
Filed under: uncultured Atopobium sp.
Lineage: Bacteria; Bacillati; Actinomycetota; Coriobacteriia; Coriobacteriales; Atopobiaceae
Description: partial 16S ribosomal RNA
Rfam family: Bacterial small subunit ribosomal RNA
Source: RNAcentral